Molecule: small nuclear RNA, 107 nt
Organism: Balaenoptera musculus (blue whale)
Lineage: Eukaryota; Metazoa; Chordata; Mammalia; Artiodactyla; Balaenopteridae
Source: Ensembl
GUGUUCAUUUCAAGAGCACAUAUGCUAAAAUUGGAAUGAUACAGAGAAGAUUAGCAUGGCCCCUGUGCAAGAACGAUGUAAAUUUGUGAAACAUUAAAAGAAUAGUA